Molecule: ribosomal RNA, 198 nt
Filed under: uncultured bacterium
Lineage: Bacteria
Description: partial 16S ribosomal RNA
Rfam family: Bacterial small subunit ribosomal RNA
Source: RNAcentral
GUCUGCAACCCGACUACAUGAAGCUGGAAUCGCUAGUAAUCGCAGGUCAGCAUACUGCGGUGAAUACGUUCCCGGGUCUUGUACACGCCGCCCGUCACACCAUGGGAGCCGGAAAUGCCCGAAGCCAGUGACCCAACCUUAGGGAGGGAGCUGUCGAAGGUGGAGCCGGUAACUGGGGUGAAGUCGUAACAAGGUACC